AUUGCAAAGAGUGGCGAACGGGUGAGUAACACGUGGGAAACCUACCUCUUAGCAGGGGAUAACAUUUGGAAACAGAUGCUAAUACCGUAUAACAAUAGCAACCGCAUGGUUGCUACUUAAAAGAUGGUUCUGCUAUCACUAAGAGAUGGUCCCGCGGUGCAUUAGUUAGUUGGUGAGGUAAUGGCUCACCAAGACGAUGAUGCAUAGCCGAGUUGAGAGACUGAUCGGCCACAAUGGGACUGAGACACGGCCCAUACUCCUACGGGAGGCAGCAGUAGGGAAUCUUCCACAAUGGGCGAAAGCCUGAUGGAGCAACGCCGCGUGUGUGAUGAAGGGUUUCGGCUCGUAAAACACUGUUGUAAGAGAAGAAUGACAUUGAGAGUAACUGUUCAAUGUGUGACGGUAUCUUACCAGAAAGGAACGGCUAAAUACGUGCCAGCAGCCGCGGUAAUACGUAUGUUCCAAGCGUUAUCCGGAUUUAUUGGGCGUAAAGCGAGCGCAGACGGUUAUUUAAGUCUGAAGUGAAAGCCCUCAGCUCAACUGAGGAAUUGCUUUGGAAACUGGAUGACUUGAGUGCAGUAGAGGAAAGUGGAACUCCA
Molecule: ribosomal RNA, 599 nt
Filed under: Weissella cibaria
Lineage: Bacteria; Bacillati; Bacillota; Bacilli; Lactobacillales; Lactobacillaceae
Description: bacterial SSU rRNA
Rfam family: Bacterial small subunit ribosomal RNA
Source: RNAcentral